This 1372-nucleotide ribosomal RNA is filed under the name uncultured bacterium. Its description in RNAcentral is "bacterial SSU rRNA". It matches the Rfam family "Bacterial small subunit ribosomal RNA", at positions 28 to 1381 of the family's 1533-position model. The record is from RNAcentral.
GAUGAACGCUGGCGGCGUGCCUAAUACAUGCAAGUCGAGCGAACGGACGAGAAGCUUGCUUCUCUGAUGUUAGCGGCGGACGGGUGAGUAACACGUGGAUAACCUACCUAUAAGACUGGGAUAACUUCGGGAAACCGGAGCUAAUACCGGAUAAUAUUUUGAACCGCAUGGUUCAAAAGUGAAAGACGGUCUUGCUGUCACUUAUAGAUGGAUCCGCGCUGCAUUAGCUAGUUGGUAAGGUAACGGCUUACCAAGGCAACGAUGCAUAGCCGACCUGAGAGGGUGAUCGGCCACACUGGAACUGAGACACGGUCCAGACUCCUACGGGAGGCAGCAGUAGGGAAUCUUCCGCAAUGGGCGAGAGCCUGACGGAGCAACGCCGCGUGAGUGAUGAAGGUCUUCGGAUCGUAAAACUCUGUUAUUAGGGAAGAACAUAUGUGUAAGUAACUGUGCACAUCUUGACGGUACCUAAUCAGAAAGCCACGGCUAACUACGUGCCAGCAGCCGCGGUAAUACGUAGGUGGCAAGCGUUAUCCGGAAUUAUUGGGCGUAAAGCGCGCGUAGGCGGUUUUUUAAGUCUGAUGUGAAAGCCCACGGCUCAACCGUGGAGGGUCAUUGGAAACUGGAAAACUUGAGUGCAGAAGAAGAAAGUGGAAUUCCAUGUGUAGCGGUGAAAUGCGCAGAGAUAUGGAGGAACACCAGUGGCGAAGGCGACUUUCUGGUCUGUAACUGACGCUGAUGUGCGAAAGCGUGGGGAUCAAACAGGAUUAGAUACCCUGGUAGUCCACGCCGUAAACGAUGAGUGCUAAGUGUUAGGGGGUUUCCGCCCCUUAGUGCUGCAGCUAACGCAUUAAGCACUCCGCCUGGGGAGUACGACCGCAAGGUUGAAACUCAAAGGAAUUGACGGGGACCCGCACAAGCGGUGGAGCAUGUGGUUUAAUUCGAAGCAACGCGAAGAACCUUACCAAAUCUUGACAUCCUUUGACAACUCUAGAGAUAGAGCUUUCCCCUUCGGGGGACAAAGUGACAGGUGGUGCAUGGUUGUCGUCAGCUCGUGUCGUGAGAUGUUGGGUUAAGUCCCGCAACGAGCGCAACCCUUAAGCUUAGUUGCCAUCAUUAAGUUGGGCACUCUAAGUUGACUGCCGGUGACAAACCGGAGGAAGGUGGGGAUGACGUCAAAUCAUCAUGCCCCUUAUGAUUUGGGCUACACACGUGCUACAAUGGACAAUACAAAGGGCAGCGAAACCGCGAGGUCAAGCAAAUCCCAUAAAGUUGUUCUCAGUUCGGAUUGUAGUCUGCAACUCGACUACAUGAAGCUGGAAUCGCUAGUAAUCGUAGAUCAGCAUGCUACGGUGAAUACGUUCCCGGGUCU